This 517-nucleotide ribosomal RNA is filed under the name Campylobacter jejuni. RNAcentral's name for it is "bacterial SSU rRNA". It matches the Rfam family "Bacterial small subunit ribosomal RNA", at positions 1009 to 1533 of the family's 1533-position model. The record is from RNAcentral. Lineage: Bacteria; Pseudomonadati; Campylobacterota; Epsilonproteobacteria; Campylobacterales; Campylobacteraceae.
GGUGCUAGCUUGCUAGAACUUAGAGACAGGUGCUGCACGGCUGUCGUCAGCUCGUGUCGUGAGAUGUUGGGUUAAGUCCCGCAACGAGCGCAACCCACGUAUUUAGUUGCUAACGGUUCGGCCGAGCACUCUAAAUAGACUGCCUUCGUAAGGAGGAGGAAGGUGUGGACGACGUCAAGUCAUCAUGGCCCUUAUGCCCAGGGCGACACACGUGCUACAAUGGCAUAUACAAUGAGACGCAAUACCGCGAGGUGGAGCAAAUCUAUAAAAUAUGUCCCAGUUCGGAUUGUUCUCUGCAACUCGAGAGCAUGAAGCCGGAAUCGCUAGUAAUCGUAGAUCAGCCAUGCUACGGUGAAUACGUUCCCGGGUCUUGUACUCACCGCCCGUCACACCAUGGGAGUUGAUUUCACUCGAAGCCGGAAUACUAAACUAGUUACCGUCCACAGUGGAAUCAGCGACUGGGGUGAAGUCGUAACAAGGUAACCGUAGGAGAACCUGCGGUUGGAUCACCUCCUUU